Molecule: ribosomal RNA, 425 nt
Filed under: uncultured bacterium
Lineage: Bacteria
Description: partial 16S ribosomal RNA
Rfam family: Bacterial small subunit ribosomal RNA
Source: RNAcentral
GUUAGGAAUAUUGGACAAUGGGCGCAAGCCUGAUCCAGCCAUGCCGCGUGAACGAUGAAGGCCUUCGGGUUGUAAAGUUCUUUAGCCGAUGAUUAUAAUGACUGUAGUCGGAAAAUAAGCCCCGGCUAACUUCGUGCCAGCAGCCGCGGUAAUACGAAUGGGGCGAGCGUUAUUCGGAAUCACUGGGCGUAAAGCGUGCGUAGGCGGUCUCGUAAGUUAGGAGUGAAAGCCCAGGGCUCAACCUUGGAAUUGCGCUUAAAACUGCAAGGCUAGAAUCUCGGAGAGGAUAGCGGAAUUUCCAGUGUAGCAGUGAAAUGCGUAGAUAUUGUAAGGAACACCAGUGGCGUAAGCGGCUAUCUGGACGAGUAUUGACGCUGAGGCACGAAAGCGUGGGGAUCAAACAGGAUUAGAAACCCCAGUAGUCC